RNAcentral lists this ribosomal RNA (252 nucleotides) under uncultured bacterium. RNAcentral describes it as "partial 16S ribosomal RNA". It matches the Rfam family "Bacterial small subunit ribosomal RNA", at positions 524 to 776 of the family's 1533-position model. The record is from RNAcentral.
UACGGGGGGGCAAGCGUUGUUCGGAAUUACUGGGCGUAAAGGGCUCGUAGGCGGCCAACUAAGUCGGACGUGAAAUCCCUCGGCUUAACCGAGGAACUGCCCUCCAAACUGCUUGGCUUGAGACCGGGAGAGGUGAGUGGAAUUCCCAGUGUAGCGGUGAAAUGCGUAGAUAUUGGGAGGAACACCAGUGGCGAAGGCGGCUCACUGGACCGGUACUGACGCUGAGGCGCGAAAGCGUGGGGAGCAAACGGG